GAUCCACUAGCUCAGCCGGUAGAGCACCUGACUUUUAAUCAGGGUGUCCCGCGUUCGAGUCGCGGGUGGAUCACCA
This 76-nucleotide transfer RNA is filed under the name Acidaminococcales bacterium. RNAcentral describes it as "tRNA-Lys". It matches the Rfam family "tRNA". From Rfam's summary of the family: Transfer RNA (tRNA) molecules are approximately 80 nucleotides in length. The record is from RNAcentral. Lineage: Bacteria; Bacillati; Bacillota; Negativicutes; Acidaminococcales.